AUAGUAUAAAAAGUUACAAAGAGGGAACUUACAGCUAACCGGAUUCUGGCAAGCAUAAUACAAAGACAGAUAGCAGGUUAAUUAUUUACAUGGCUUAACAUUUCAAGGUAGGGAGUAAAUUGAGAUUCCAACAUCAGAAUUUCUGAGGGGCUGCUAAGGUUUUAGAGAGGGUUGUUAUCUGGUCAAAGAGAGCCAAGCAUGGGUGAGUUUAGAGCACAGGCAGGAAUUCUAAACAAGAUUAGUCCUCAGAGUAUAGUCAGGCCAAAUAGAUAUCUUAGUAAAACAGAAAUGAACUUUUUAUAACUUUGUGAUGAGAUGGCUCCCAAUCUUAGGAUAAAAUUAGGUUGGGUUCAGCGCUAAUGCCAAGAUCCAUUAUGCACUUUUUGAGUUGAGUUUUGUGCAGAGUGAGAGAUAGGGGUUUGAUUUCAUUUUACUACAUAUGGAUUUCCAGUUUAC
RNAcentral lists this long non-coding RNA (456 nucleotides) under Marmota monax (woodchuck). Lineage: Eukaryota; Metazoa; Chordata; Mammalia; Rodentia; Sciuridae. The record is from RNAcentral.